AGCUUGCUCUUAUGAAGUUAGCGGCGGACGGGUGAGUAACACGUGGGUAACCUGCCCAUAAGACUGGGAUAACUCCGGGAAACCGGGGCUAAUACCGGAUAACAUUUUGAACCGCAUGGUUCGAAAUUGAAAGGCGGCUUCGGCUGUCACUUAUGGAUGGACCCGCGUCGCAUUAGCUAGUUGGUGAGGUAACGGCUCACCAAGGCAACGAUGCGUAGCCGACCUGAGAGGGUGAUCGGCCACACUGGGACUGAGACACGGCCCAGACUCCUACGGGAGGCAGCAGUAGGGAAUCUUCCGCAAUGGACGAAAGUCUGACGGAGCAACGCCGCGUGAGUGAUGAAGGCUUUCGGGUCGUAAAACUCUGUUGUUAGGGAAGAACAAGUGCUAGUUGAAUAAGCUGGCACCUUGACGGUACCUAACCAGAAAGCCACGGCUAACUACGUGCCAGCAGCCGCGGUAAUACGUAGGUGGCAAGCGUUAUCCGGAAUUAUUGGGCGUAAAGCGCGCGCAGGUGGUUUCUUAAGUCUGAUGUGAAAGCCCACGGCUCAACCGUGGAGGGUCAUUGGAAACUGGGAGACUUGAGUGCAGAAGAGGAAAGUGGAAUUCCAUGUGUAGCGGUGAAAUGCGUAGAGAUAUGGAGGACCACCAGUGCCGAAGGCGACUUUCUGGUCUGUAACUGACCACUGAGCCGC
This 695-nucleotide ribosomal RNA is filed under the name Bacillus cereus. RNAcentral's name for it is "bacterial SSU rRNA". It matches the Rfam family "Bacterial small subunit ribosomal RNA", at positions 77 to 754 of the family's 1533-position model. The record is from RNAcentral. Lineage: Bacteria; Bacillati; Bacillota; Bacilli; Caryophanales; Bacillaceae.